UCUUUUUUUUUUACUAUCAGUGAGAAAUAUCUAGUUUACAAAGCAGAAGUGUUUUCUGAUUAAGCCUAUUACCUACUGUUAUCACCUCGUAGACAACCUAAUCCUGAGUGACUAGCUACCUGGGAGGAGAGCAAUAUUAGCAGUGGCAGUGGUUGUUGUUUGAACUGAGACAUAACUUGCGUGAAAUGAAUCAGUGUUAAAUCCCUAGCUCAAUAAGUUUUACAUAUACAUGUACACAAGUAACUACCACCCGAAGGCUCCCUUUUGUCCCUUCUCAGUCAAUACCCAUAUCAGCCUCUUCAACACUCUUUCUUAAACACACCAAGUGGUAAAAACUAGUCUGACUUCUAUGAUGACAAGUCGGAUUUGUCUGUUUUUGAACUUCGUAUAAUGUAAACAUUCAGUAUGUACUCUUUUGAAUUUGGUUCUUUUAAUUUUGUCUAUGACCAAUAAGCAACAUCAUGAUUGUCAUGAUUUGAAUUAUGUCCCCCCAGAAAUAUGUGUGUCUAUUUGGCUGUGUGAUUUUCUUAUAUGUUGUAAAUCCUGCCUCUAUGAUGUUAAUGAGGCAGGAUGGGGAGCAGUUGAGUUAGUGAGGCAGGACUCAAUCUACAUGAUUGGAUUGUGUCUUGAGGCAAUCUCUUGAGAUAUAAAAGAAAGAAGCUACAGAGAGACAGUGAGACCUCAUACCAGCAAGAAAGCAGUGCCAGGAGCAGAGUGCAUCCUUUGGAUUCAGGGUCCCUGCAUGGAGAAGCUCCUAGUCUGUGGGAUGAUUUAUGAAAAGGCUGAAAGAGAGAGAAAGCCUUGCCCUGGAGCUGAAGCCCUGAAUUUGGACUUUGAGCCUACUUUACUGUGAAGAAAUAAAUAAUUCUUUGUUAAAGCCAUCAACUUGAGGUGUUUCUGUUAUAGCAGCACUAGAUAACUAAGACAAUGAUAAAUGGAGAAAAGAUUGAAGCUGUCAAGGAUUUCAUUUUAUUUGAAUUCACAAUCAAUGUCCUGGAAGCAGCAGUCAAGAAAUCAAACGAUGUAUUGUAUUGGGCAAAUAUGCUAGCGAAGACUUCUUUAAAGUGUUAAAAAGCAAAGAUGUCAUUUUGAGUAUUAAGGUUCACCUGUCCCACUCCAUGGUAUUUUCACUUGCUUCAUAUGCAUGUGAAAGUUGGAUAACGAAUAAAGAAGAUUGGAAGAAUUGACACCUUUGAAUUAUGGUGUUGGCGAAGAAUAUUGAAUAUACCAUGGACUGCCAGAAGAACGAACAAACCUAUCUUGGAAGAAGUACUGCCAGAAUGCUCCUUAGAACCAAAGAUGACGAGGUUUUAUCUCACAUAUUAUGGACGUGUUAUCAGAAGGACCAGUCCCUGGAGAAGGACAUCAUGCUUAGUAAAGUAGAGGGUAAGAGAAAAAGAGGAAGACCCUCAACAAGGUGGAUUGACAUAUUGGCUGCAACAAUGGGCUCAACCAUGGCAAUGAUUGUAAGGAUGAUGCAGCCUGGGCAGUAUUUCCUUCUGUUGUAUGUAGGGUCGCUAUGAUUCAGAACAAACUUGAUGGUACCUAACAACAACAUGUCUAUGGGAUUGAUUUAUGUUGUUGUGUGUAUCAGGAACUUCUAAUUUUUCAUUGCUGUAUACUCUUCUAUGAAUAUACCACAAUUUUUCCAUUCUACUAUUAAUAGAUUUUUUUUUCUAGUUUUUGACUAUUUUAAAUAAAAGUGCUAUGAACAUUCUUGUACAUGUAGUUUGGUGGACGUAUGUACUUUUAUUUCUUUUAGGUAUAUACCAAAGAGUGGAAUUACUGGAUCAUAAGGUGGGCAUAUUCUUAGUUUUAGUAAAAAAUGUCCAAAUUCUUUACUGAAAGGUUAGCUUUGAUGGAAGGUACCCUGGUAGUUGUCUGUUUACUCCUCCACAUCCAUUCUCUGCCUUUCUCUGUCCUGCUCUGUGCCCUGAAUCACCCUAGUUUCCUUGCACAUUGGCUUCUGUUUGGAUGCAGCCAAUCAAAAGUCCCCAGAUAAAAGGAGAAUGGGGAGAGAGAGAUUACAGUAUAUAUCCCCUCUGCUCUCUUCUUGCUUCAUCACAGUGAGAGUAGCUGCAAUCUUCUACAGUCAUAGCUCUUACUGAAUGGCUUCAGUUUCAAGGCUCUGGCUCCCACUGGCUGCAUUAACGCCACCCUUCCCCCUUGUCUUUUCUGGUCGAGGGAGUGAUUAUGGAUUCCCACUGUUGCUGGUCCCUGGGCACUUCUCCAUCUAACAUGAUGCUCUUAGCUAACCUAUUUCCUCUAUUAAAAAUCUAAAAUCUUUCAAUAUGCUGUUUUUUCUUACAGGGAUUGUGACAGAUACAAGAGAAAAUAAAGGGGAUUUUGAGACAUGUCAGAAUGUGUUGGAGCACACAGGGAGUCCUGCUCAGCAUGAGAGAGCAACAGAAAGAUAUUGAACUGAAAUUGGUUAUUUAGGACAAUUCAAUUCAACAAAUAUCUUGGAUAAGAAAAGUGAAGCUUAAAGAGUUCAACUUGACCCAAGAUUACAUAGCUAGAAAAUGGCAGAACCAGCAUGUAAACCCAGACAGGAGAUGCCAACACAGUCUCAAGUGUCCAUCUGAUACAAGUAGCUCACUCCUCCUCAUCAUCUCUCUCCAACCCAUUGUUUGUCCAUUCCAUGUCUGGUGAGUUGUCUUCGGGAAUGGUUCCUGUCCUGGGCCAACACAAGGUUUGGGGACCAUGACCUCUGGGAUUCUUCUAGUCUCAGUCAGACCAUUAAGUCUGGUCUUUUUAUGAGAAUUUGGGGUCUGCAUCCCACUGAUCUCCUGCUCCCUCAGGGGUUCUCUGUUGUGCUCCUGUCAGGGCAGUCAUCGGUUGUGGCUGGACACCAUCUCGUUCUUCUAGUCUCGGGAUGAUAUAAGUCUCUAGGUCAUGUGACUCUUUCUGUCUCUUGGGCUCAAAAUUAUCUUGUGACCUUGGUGUUCUUCAUUCUCCUUUGAUCCAGAUGGGUUGAGGCUCAUUGAUGCAUCUUAGAUGGCUGCUUGCUAGCAUUUAAGACCCCAGACACCGCACUUCAAAGUGGGACGCAGAAUGUUUUCUCAGUAGAAUUUAUUUUGCCA
Loxodonta africana (African savanna elephant) is the source of this 3083-nucleotide long non-coding RNA. RefSeq lists it as uncharacterized. The transcript is spliced from 3 exons. Lineage: Eukaryota; Metazoa; Chordata; Mammalia; Proboscidea; Elephantidae. The record is from RefSeq and is a predicted model, not a curated record.